UAGGGAAUCUUCCACAAUGGACGCAAGUCUGAUGGAGCAACGCCGCGUGAGUGAAGAAGGGUUUCGGCUCGUAAAGCUCUGUUGGUAGUGAAGAAAGAUAGAGGUAGUAACUGGCCUUUAUUUGACGGUAAUUACUUAGAAAGUCACGGCUAACUACGUGCCAGCAGCCGCGGUAAUACGUAGGUGGCAAGCGUUGUCCGGAUUUAUUGGGCGUAAAGCGAGUGCAGGCGGUUCAAUAAGUCUGAUGUGAAAGCCUUCGGCUCAACCGGAGAAUCGCAUCAGAAACUGUUGAACUUGAGUGCAGAAGAGGAGAGUGGAACUCCAUGUGUAGCGGUGGAAUGCGUAGAUAUAUGGAAGAACACCAGUGGCGAAGGCGGCUCUCUGGUCUGCAACUGACGCUGAGGCUCGAAAGCAUGGGUAGCGAACAGGAUUAGAUACCCUGGUAGUCCAUGCCGUAAACGAUGAGUGCUAAGUGUUGGGAGGUUUCCGCCUCUCAGUGCUGCAGCUAACGCAUUAAGCACUCCGCCUGGGGAGUACGACCGCAAGGUUG
RNAcentral lists this ribosomal RNA (550 nucleotides) under uncultured bacterium. RNAcentral's name for it is "bacterial SSU rRNA". It matches the Rfam family "Bacterial small subunit ribosomal RNA", at positions 355 to 896 of the family's 1533-position model. The record is from RNAcentral.